GAUGAACGCUGGCGGCGUGCUUAAUACAUGCAAGUCGAACGGGGAUUUCUUUGUAUUCGUACGAGGAAAAUCCUAGUGGCGAACGGGUGAGUAACGCGUUGGUGACCUGCCCCGAAGAGGGGGAUAACAGCUCGAAAGAGCUGCUAAUACCCCAUGUGAUCACAGAGGUUAGAGGCUCUGUGCUUAAAGGUACUGUCUUCGGACACUCCGCUUCGGGAGGGCCUGCGUCCCAUCAGCUAGUUGGUAGGGUAACGGCCUACCAAGGCGACGACGGGUAGGGGACCUGAGAGGGUGACCCCCCACACUGGCACUGAGACACGGGCCAGACUCCUACGGGAGGCAGCGGUGAGGAAUAUUGCGCAAUGAGCGAAAGCUAGACGCAGCAACGCCGCGUGGGUGAAGAAGGCCCUCGGGUCGUAAAACCCUUUUCUGGGGGACGAGAAAGGACGGUACCCCAGGAAUAAGUCUCGGCUAACUAUGUG
Molecule: ribosomal RNA, 482 nt
Filed under: uncultured bacterium
Lineage: Bacteria
Description: bacterial SSU rRNA
Rfam family: Bacterial small subunit ribosomal RNA
Source: RNAcentral